AAAAAAAAAAAAAAAAAGGAACCCUGUUUUGAAAAACACAAACAAACAAAAAACCUUGUUGUUUUUAGUUUCCUUUUUAAAAGUUACCUGUAUUUAUUUAUUUAUUUAUUGUGUGUGUGCACACACACACAUGCCAUGAAACACUUGUGGAAGUCAGAGGAUAACUUGUGGGAGUCAGCUCUCUUCUUUCUCCAUCAUGUGGUUUCUAGAGAUCAGACUCAGAUUACCAGGCCUGGCAUCAGGCACUAUCCCCCAGUGAGCCAUGUGUCUGGGCUGUUGUUUUGAGAUGGGGAUCUCACUGUGUUUUUCAUGUUGGUCUCAAACUCAUGGGUUUAAAUAAUCUUCCUGCCUCAGUCUCCCAAGUUGUGUGACAUCGCACCCAGGUUAAAACAGGGUUUCAUCCUCCACUCUACUGACUCCUGACUGUGGAAAGCAGGCAACAGAUGGUGGUGUGGAGCAGAAAAGGAGCUGAGAGAAUUAGAUUGCCGCUCCUUCUUCUCCCCUUCCUUCGACUUAAGUUACAAAUGUCUUCAGGCAAACAGAAAUCUGUCAUUAAUUUCAAAACAGUGUCUUUCAAGCAGCUUGUCAAAUCUCUUAGUGGGUGCUUGUUUCCACUUACAGAAUUCUUGUUUUGCAGAAGUUUAGUAGAAACAAUGUCAGAACUACUGGUCUUUCUCCUUUUAUGUUUGUCUAAAGGCACAAAAAUAUUCUUCAAUAAGAAACUGAGUAGUGCCAGCCAGUGGUGGCACACGCCUUCAAUCCCAACACUCAGGAGGUAGAGGCAGGCAAAUUUAUGUGAGUUUGAGGCCAGCCUGGUUGACAUAGUGAGUUUCAGGACAGCCAGAGAUACAUGGAAAAACCCUAUCUCUAAAUAAAUAAAUAAAAGGCUAAAAGACAAACAAACAAGAAAUAAUGAAAGAAAGAAUCUGAGUAUAGUGUCAUAUUUCUGUAAUGCUAACACUUGGGAGAUAAAGACGGGAGGAUAAGAAGUUCAAGAUCCUUCAACAUGCAGAAGGCAGAGGCAGGUGGAACUCUGAGAGUUUGAGGCCAGCCUGGUCUACAGAGUGAGUUCCAGGACAACUAAAUCAUUCUUGAAAACAAAACAAAAAAUAAGAAAGAAACCCAAGAAAGUCAAGGUCAUUCUUGGCCAUAUAUCAAAUUUAAGACCACCCUGGGCUAAUGAGAUCCUAUCUCAAAUUACAACAAAAUUCUCUGAUAAAAAUGUUUCAAUUUUGGUUAGCUAUGGUGGUUCAUGCUUUUAGAUUCAGCAGCUUGAGACGCUGGUGCAGGAUUACCGGCCUGGAUAAUUCAUCAAGACCACAGUUUAAAAAUAAGUUAUAGGUUUGUUUUUUAUAUUUAGUUUUUCAUAUAUUUGGAUUUUAAAAAUAAUUUUAUUUUAUCUGUAUAUAUCUGUAUGAGUGCAUGCCAUGUGUGUGACGGAGACCAGAAGAGGGCAUUAAAUUUCCUGGAGUUGUGAAGAGGCCUAACUUAACAUCAGUACAGCCACGACUGGCUGCAGACUAACAAUACUGUAACUAGGCCUCACCCUUACAAUAACCAGGAAAAACCAUAGACUGCACCCGGCAGGGGAAAAAUCAGAAUGGAGCCAAACAAAUACUAGAUACUCUAGAACAUUAAGAAUAGCUUACCUAACUUGUAUAUAGUUUGUCAAUUUCCUUACAGCAACGCCAGUACCAAUCCCUGUUUGAUAAGACUUCUGUUACUCACUCCUGCCCAAUCAGGAGUUCAACCCCCAUCUGAAUCUGGAAUUCCCUUCCCAUCCUUUACUUCUUUAAAAAACCCUGCCAUAGAUGAGCUUAAGGCUCUCCAAUAUCCAACUUCUCAAGUCCUCUGCAAAAGCAGGAGGUGAUUUUUAAAGGGUUCAAUUCUAAUUUCUUCUUCAGCUGUGGAUCAUUGGCUAGUGUAAUAUGAUUUUGACUGUAUGGGGGUUUUUGAUGGAAAGUUUGUCAUGUUGCCUUAAAUGUGUAUACACCUAGCUGUCCAAUCUGGUCCACGGGCGGGCUCACUAGUCCUUAGGCACUUGACAUGGUAUGUAAUACUGUGUCUGUUUGUUUUUUUAAGAGGUCUUGAUAUCAGUUCUUUAAACUAUCUUGGCUUUUUAAUCUUUCACAAGAUCUAAAGGUGCUACAGAAUAAGUCUAUUGGUACAUUGUUUGAAAUUUUAUUUUAUUUUUUUCGAGACAGGUUUUCUCUGUGUAGCUUUGGAGCCUAUCCUGGCACUCACUCUGUAGACCAGGCCUCGAACUCACAGAGAUCCACCUGCCUCUGCCUCCAAGUGCUGGGAUUAAAGGCGUGCGCCACCAAUGCCUGGAGGAAUUCUAUUUUUAAUAUUGGAUUUUUGGUCAAUGGAUAUGGUAUGUUUGUUUCUUUAUUUCAUUUAUGUCUGGUUUUUUUUUUUAAAUUUUUUUCCUUGUUACUGCCUUGCCUUUUUGAGAUCGUUUCACUAUAUAGACCAGGUUGGUCUCAGACUUGGGCUUCUACUUUCAGCCUUCCAAAGGCUGGAGUUACAAGUCCCUGUUCUGUAGAUUCUUAUGGUCUCUUUGUGCUACAUCCUUGCAAACAUAAUUUCCUUUUCUGUAUGUUUCUUGGUUAUAAUUAUCCAGUAAUUUACUGACUAUCUUGAGAAUAGAAGUGCAGUCAAAGUGAACAUGUGCUAGUUCAUUUUUUUGUUUGUUUUUUGUUUGUUGCCAACUUGACACAGUAUUCUGAGAAGAGGAACCUCAAUUGAGAAACUUCUGCCACCAGAUUGGCCUGUGGCUGUGGCCCCUUACGUCCUGAUGAAGACCUAGUUGCUACCAAACGGAAGAGGAGCUGUGGAUUUCCCUUGGCUCCACCAUCACUAGUCUGUGGAGUACCUCAGCCGCAUGCUGGCAGCUCAAUGCUUGGGUCUGUCACACAUCUCCUCAAGUAGCUUUGACAUAACAAGAUGACAUCUUCUAAUUCCUAAAGCUGAGAUGUGGGGAGAAAGCAGCUUCCAUCACUUGGUAUUUUCCUCGGCUCGAGGAGGAAUUCUUCCCAGGACUUUCAAGCCCCUCCACCAUCCCUUGUCCCGAGUUUUUCUGUGAAGAGAAGGAAUUACUUCAGGUCACUAGCUUAUGUCAAGACAUUGCAGCUCGUCUGUCCACCAAGGCAAAGCACGUGCUGGGCCUUAGGCAAAGAUAGACCCUAACAGUGCCACUCUCAGAGGGCGCUCAGGGAGCUCCAUACUCAACUUUCAACUCUGGCCCUGGUGUUAUGAAUGCAGCCUGUGUGAGCUUUGUGGAAACUUCAGAAGUUAUUCGGAGACUCUAAGGGAUGUAAUGAAAGACCCCUGCCCCUUAGCCCUUUCUUUCUCAAGUUUGCCUCCUCCUCCGGUCGGCGGCUUCCCCGAUCCCCACCCCCCGCC
RNAcentral lists this long non-coding RNA (3405 nucleotides) under Cricetulus griseus (Chinese hamster). RNAcentral describes it as "lncRNA (ENSCGRG00015042286.1)". Lineage: Eukaryota; Metazoa; Chordata; Mammalia; Rodentia; Cricetidae. The record is from RNAcentral.